GAUGAAGAACGUAGCGAAAUGCGAUACGUAGUGUGAAUUGCAGAAUUCAGUGAAUCAUCGAAUCUUUGAACGCACAUUGCGCCCGCUGGUAUUCCGGCGGGCAUGCCUGUUCGAGCGUCAUUUCAACCCUCAAGCCCCCGGGUUUGGUGUUGGGGAUCGGCUCUGCCUUACGGCGGUGCCGCCCCCGAAAUACAUUGGCGGUCUCGCUGCAGCCUCCAUUGCGUAGUAGCUAACACCUCGCAACUGGAACGCGGCGCGGCCAUGCCGUAAAACCCCAACUUCUGAAUGUUGACCUCGGAUCAGGUAGGAAUACCCGCUGAACUUAAGCAUAUCAAUAAGCGGAGGA
Molecule: unclassified non-coding RNA, 346 nt
Filed under: soil metagenome
Description: partial contains 5.8S ribosomal RNA, internal transcribed spacer 2, and large subunit ribosomal RNA
Rfam family: 5.8S ribosomal RNA (bases 1-120)
Source: RNAcentral